Molecule: transfer RNA, 76 nt
Filed under: Planctomycetota bacterium
Lineage: Bacteria; Pseudomonadati; Planctomycetota
Description: tRNA-Lys
Rfam family: tRNA
About the family: Transfer RNA (tRNA) molecules are approximately 80 nucleotides in length. Their secondary structure includes four short double-helical elements and three loops (D, anti-codon, and T loops). Further hydrogen bonds mediate the characteristic L-shaped molecular structure. tRNAs have two regions of fundamental functional importance: the anti-codon, which is responsible for specific mRNA codon recognition, and the 3' end, to which the tRNAs corresponding amino acid is attached (by aminoacyl-tRNA synthetases). tRNAs cope with the degeneracy of the genetic code in two manners: having more than one tRNA (with a specific anti-codon) for a particular amino acid; and 'wobble' base-pairing, i.e. permitting non-standard base-pairing at the 3rd anti-codon position.
Source: RNAcentral
GCCUCUGUAGCUCAGUUGGUAGAGCAGCUGACUCUUAAUCAGCGGGUCCCAGGUUCGAGCCCUGGCGGAGGCACCA